AUGUUUUUUUCCAUGUUUCUUCUUAUUCGUACAACAAUAAAUCUUGUAGUAAAAGUGUUUACAAUAAAGUUCACCCACAAUUGGAAUAUUAUAAUUUCCUUAUAAUAAGCAUAUCAAUUUUUAUCAUUCUUUUUCAUAUUCUUAAAAUCCCUAUAAUUCUUAAUAUACCUCAUAUAAGUCACUUCUUAAUCUUAAAACAGUCUAUGUUUUCAUACUCUUAUUUAUUCUUUUUAAUUUCAUAUAUACACGAUGCUGAUUGCUGUAUUAUUAGUGCACCCUAAAACGAUGCCCUUGGUUAGGCAAGAUACUAAAUCCAGGGACGCAACAUACAAUCUAGUCAGAAUUCUAACAAAGCAAAAAGAAGGCAUUAGAAUUUGUCAUAUUAACGCACAGAGUAUUGUGAACAAAGUUGACGAAUUAAAGUACUUAUUUGAAAACUCAGGUACUGAACUAAACUCUGCCAUAUCAUAUACCUAAACUCUGCCAUAUCAUAUACCUUAUUCAAUUUAAAAGGCUAUUCUGUAUUAAGGUUAGACAGAGAAAUUCAUUACAAAGUCGGAAUGUGGUGAUGAAAUUGAACAUGUUUUUGUUGAGGUUAAGGCUAGUAAUACAAAGAUGUUAAGUGGUUGUAUAUAUCGACCUAAUAAUAAUAUUGAUUUUGCCUUACUCUUGGUUUUCAUGAAGUUAUUAUCACAGGGGAAUUUAAUUCAAAUUUACUCACUGAUACUACAUUGACAAACAAACAUUAGGCCUGUACGUAUCAAACAAUUUUCGUCCUAUUCACUUCUCCUCAAAUACUAAUACGCUUCUGGAUUUAUUUUUUAAAUAAUAACCAUAAUAAUCUGUUAUACGAUCAAAUUUCUGCGUCAUGUUUUUCUAAGCAUGACCUGAUAUUUCUUAUAUACAAAUUUAAUAUUUCGCCUCUUGAACAAGUUUAUUCAUUCCGUGAUUACAAUAGACUGGACCAUUUAGUUUUGGAAAAUAAAUGUCGCAUCCUUAAUUGGGAUGAAAUAUAUAAUUUCAUUUCCGUUGAUCAGAAAGCAAAAUUCCUGCAAUAAAACAUUCUGUUUCUUUAUAAUGAUAUGGUUCCACUAAAGGCUAAACGUAUUGAUAAUAGAAAUAAAACACUAUCAAAGCGUUUAUUGCUGAUAGAGACACAGCUUAUAAAAGAUGGAAACGGUAUAAAACUCCAGAACUAUAUGAGGAAUUCCGCUUAGACCGAAGGAGAGCAAGCAACCAUAUCAAUCUUGCCAAAACAGAAUAUUUUUCCACUAAAUUUAAUUCAGCAUUGGACUCCAAGAGUAAGUGGAAACUAAUUCACGAAAUCGGAGUUGGAAAGCCCAGCGUAUCUGCCUCUACUCACUGUGAUGAAAUGAUCUUAAUAAUAUAUCCUACUAUUCCAGCAGACCCUACUUUUUACAGUUCUACCAGUUCAACUAAAGAUACCUUAUCUGAUGAGGCAUCUUUUGAGUUCCGUUGUGUCACUAGCGAUGAAGUCGUAGCUAGCUUUGGUAGUGUUAAGUCUAGUGCCAUUGGUUAAGGUGGCAUUGAUCCAAAGUUUGUUCGUUUACUACUUCCUUUUCUUCUACCUUAUUUUACCCACUUAUUCAAUUCCAUUUUGACGACAAAUACUUUCCCCACUAUCUAGAAACAGGCAAAAGUUAUUCCAGUCCCGAAAUAUAACACGGAUUUCCAGCUCAUAGCUAUAUUACCUUUUGUAUCUAAAGUCUUUGAGAAACUCAUCCACAUCCAAAUGUCAGAACACCUUCAACAGAAUACAUGGCUUUCUCACGUGCAAUCAGUAUUCCGAUCUGAGCCCAGCUGUAUCACUGCGUUAGAAGAAGUCUCAGAGUCAAUCAGACGUGGUGUUGAAGAGAAUAAAGCUUGUUUCCAGACCAAACAAAAGCCUUUGACACUGUCGAUAACAUUAACCUUUGCAUCAAACUACGGCGUCUUUUCAAUUUUUCCAACACUUCCACUAAUCUUAUAAAAUCUUACUUGUCCAACCGCUCACAAUUGGUAUAUUCUGGAGGGUCCACUUCAACACCAUUGGCUAUAUGUAGGGCGCCCCUCAGCGCUCUAUAGUAGGUCCUCGUCAUCUCAGGAUAUGUAGGCAAAUGAUCUUCCCAGCCAAAUAAUCCACAACAGUGUGCACAUGUAUGCCGAUGAUGUACAAAUAUUCCUAAGCACCAAUGUGAAUCAUGCAAGACAAUCUGUUCAUAAUAUUGCUAUUAAUUUGCCCAACACUGUUGGUUGGGCAUUUACCGGCGGCCGCAUAAAUGGCAUCAUAACAAAAUGAUGUAAAUAAUGUAAAUACAUACACAUACAUUUAUGCAGCCACCGGUAAAUUCCAAUGCUGAAUUCUAAUAACUAAGCAUCGUCAACAGCCAAAACAGGUUUGAUGUGACGAUGCAAAUUUGGCAAUAAUCUGUUCUUUUUCAAUUACCGUCGCGAGCGCAAGUUUCCCCCCCGAGUGACAAGUGUCUGUGCAAAAAUAAAAGAAAAAAAAAACUAACAACAUUUAUAUAUUACAAAAACCAGUGAACAUUGAAAUACAACAAAAGGUAUCAAAAUUACAAAAAAAAAAACAGAAUAUUACAAAAUUAUCUAUGUUAAACAAAAGCUUUCUACAACAUACAAUAUACAACAAAAAGAAUAAUUGUGAAACUAAUUGCUAAAACUUACCUGCUAACUUAAAACUUAUAAUUAAGAUAAAACUUAAAACCUAUUGAAUUACAAACUAAAUAUAAUUAUCUAAAUAAAGCAAAUCUUAUGAACUAGUGAAAACUUAAAACUUUUUUAUAUCUAAAAUUGCACUACCCCAAAAUCCAAAUAAAAGAACUAAAAAUUAAAAGAAAAAUAUUUCUUAUAAUUUAAGAAGGCUCAAGGCAAAAAAGGUAAGCCUAAAAACAUUUGGUCCUCCAGAGCCGGAUCAAAAAGUGAAAGUUUUUUAAGUUAUUAAAAACAAAAAAAAAAAAAAGAACAAUUUGUGAGUGGACGGACAAACAAAAGAACAGUGAGAAAAAAGAACAGUGAAAAAUAACAGUGGGUGUAAAAAAUAAGUGCAAAGAAAAAAAAAUUAAAUUUAAAAAAAAAAGAAGAAAAAUGAGAAAAAAAUAAAUAAUUAAUAAAAAAUAGACUUUGCACAGUGCAACAAAAGUGAAGCUACACAGUGCUACAAAAAUAAAAUUUUUAAAAUUGUAGAAAAAUUAAUUUUUUCUUCAAUUUUAAAAAAAAUAUACAAUUUACAAAAAAAAUUACAACAAAAGAGACUAUACACAGUGAUACACGAAAGACAAUAUACAGUGACACAAAAAACAACCACAACAAGGAGAAUUUUGGAGCCAGCAGUAGGACGGACACACGCAGCACAACAACAACAACAACAACAACCGAGACCCAAAACCCAAGAUCAAAAUAUGGCCGCUUACUUGCCCAACCAGGACUGCCGUCUGGACGAUCGCAACCGUAGCCCAGACUCACCUGCCCGUCCCACAGCAAGAAGCGCCAAUCGACCCAUACGGCCCAUCCAUCGACCCAGUUCCACAUCCCCUGAAAGGCGACAGAGAAGUCGAUCCGACGUAAGACCCCGCCAACGCCAAGAAAGACCUAGCUACUGGCAAUACUCAUGUGGACUAUGCCAAGAAGACCAUGCCCUCAGUGCCUGUGAGAGGUUCCGCCGGCAGACGCCCUUCCAGCGAUAUGAGACCGUGGAGCGUCGGGGGUAUUGCCGAAAUUGCCUGGCGAGAAGUCAUUUGGCCCCCGACUGCCCGUCUUUAACUGGUUGCCGGAGAUGCAACGACCGGCACCAUACCCUAUUGCACGGGGCGUCUCAAUUGGAGGAGGUAUCCCUAAAUAUAGAAGCCGUCACCACCCCAGCUUUCGCGUGGGACGCAUAACGGCCGAGGGUAUGGAGGGUUUCAGCAUGUUGCGGGCCAUAGUUAGCCAAUCGGCGACGAUGUCCAAGAUCUCAUAUGCAGCUUUCCGUCGCCUGGGUCUGCAGUCGCGGAGCUACAAAGGGGAGCGAUUCACAACCUUCACAGUUUCGCCCCGCCGCACGAACAGUACUUGGAGUCUGAAGGUAAAUGCCGUAAUUAUCGAAGAUCUCCCAAGACGCAUUUACUCGGACCCAAUACUUGAAGACCCCACUAGAUGCUUCACGAGCUACGCCUUAGCUGACCCUGAUCCCAGAGGAAAUAGUCCGAUCGAUGUGGAACUGGGAGCGGACACGUACUCCGCCAUAAGGAAAGAUGGGUGUACAGCAGCUGGAAUUGGAGAUGUCCUGGCCUACAACACACAACUGGGCUACGUGUUUGCUGGGCCAAUCAAGAACAUGCCGAGGAACUGAAGACCGAAGAUCCUUAUGGUAUAUUAGAAAUGAAUACUUACACUUGUCAUUCGGGGCCCAGAAAAUGUUCAUAAUAUUGCUAUUAAUUUGCCCAACACUGUUGGUUGGGCAUUUACCGGCGGCCGCAUAAAUGGCAUCAUAACAAAAUGAUGUAAAUAAUGUAAAUACAUACACAUACACACAUACAUUUAUGCAGCCACCGGUAAAUUCCAAUGCUGAAUUCUAAUAACUAAGCAUCGUCAACAGCCAAAACAGGUUUGAUGUGACGAUGCAAAUUUGGCAAUAAUCUGUUCUUUUUCAAUUACCGUCGCGAGCGCAAGUUUCCCCCCCGAGUGACAAGUGUCUGUGCAAAAAUAAAAGGAAAAAAAAACUAACAACAUUUAUAUAUUACAAAAACCAGUGAACAUUGAAAUACAACAAAAGGUAUCAAAAUUACAAAAAAAAAACAGAAUAUUACAAAAUUAUCUAUGUUAAACAAAAGCUUUCUACAACAUACAAUAUACAACAAAAAGAAUAAUUGUGAAACUAAUUGCUAAAACUUACCUGCUAACUUAAAACUUAUAAUUAAGAUAAAACUUAAAACCUAUUGAAUUACAAACUAAAUAUAAUUAUCUAAAUAAAGCAAAUCUUAUGAACUAGUGAAAACUUAAAACUAUUUUAUAUCUAAAAUUGCACUACCCCAAAAUCCAAAUAAAAGAACUAAAAAUUAAAAGAAAAA
Molecule: long non-coding RNA, 5066 nt
Organism: Musca domestica (house fly)
Lineage: Eukaryota; Metazoa; Arthropoda; Insecta; Diptera; Muscidae
Exons: 2
Source: RefSeq, a predicted model, not a curated record